RNAcentral lists this ribosomal RNA (254 nucleotides) under uncultured bacterium. Its description in RNAcentral is "partial 16S ribosomal RNA". It matches the Rfam family "Bacterial small subunit ribosomal RNA", at positions 524 to 776 of the family's 1533-position model. The record is from RNAcentral.
UACGUAGGGUGCGAGCGUUGUCCGGAAUUAUUGGGCGUAAAGAGCUCGUAGGCGGUGUGUCGCGUCGGCCGUGAAAACCUGGGGCUCAACUCUGGGCGUGCGGUCGAUACGGGCAUCACUAGAGUUCGGCAGGGGAGACUGGAAUUCCUGGUGUAGCGGUGAAAUGCGCAGAUAUCAGGAGGAACACCGGUGGCGAAGGCGGGUCUCUGGGCCGUAACUGACGCUGAGGAGCGAAAGCAUGGGGAGCGAACAGG